GAUGUCUAGUAUAGCAUUUAUACAGUGAAACUGCGAAUGGCUCAUUAAAUCAGUUAUCGUUUAUUUGAUAGUACCUUUACUACUUGGAUAACCGUGGUAAUUCUAGAGCUAAUACAUGCUAAAAAUCCCGACUGUUUGGAAGGGAUGUAUUUAUUAGAUAAAAAAUCAAUGCUCUUUGAGCUCUUUGAUGAUUCAUAAUAACUUUUCGAAUCGCAUGGCCUUGUGCUGGCGAUGGUUCAUUCAAAUUUCUGCCCUAUCAACUUUCGAUGGUAGGAUAGUGGCCUACCAUGGUUUCAACGGGUAACGGGGAAUAAGGGUUCGAUUCCGGAGAGGGAGCCUGAGAAACGGCUACCACAUCCAAGGAAGGCAGCAGGCGCGCAAAUUACCCAAUCCCGACACGGGGAGGUAGUGACAAUACAUAACGAUACAGGGCCCUUUCGGGUCUUGUAAUUGGAAUGAGUACAAUGUAAAUACCUUAACGAGGAACAAUUGGAGGGCAAGUCUGGUGCCAGCAGCCGCGGUAAUUCCAGCUCCAAUAGCGUAUAUUAAAGUUGUUGCAGUUAAAAAGCUCGUAGUUGAACUUUGGGCUUGGUUGGCCGGUCCGCCUUUUUGGCGAGUACUGGACCCAACCGAGCCUUUCCUUCUGGCUAACCAUUCGCCCUUGUGGUGUUUGGCGAACCAGGACUUUUACUUUGAAAAAAUUAGAGUGUUCAAAGCAGGCCUUUGCUCGAAUAUAUUAGCAUGGAAUAAUAGAAUAGGACGUUAUGGUUCUAUUUUGUUGGUUUCUAGGACCAUCGUAAUGAUUAAUAGGGACGGUCGGGGGCAUCAGUAUUCAGUUGUCAGAGGUGAAAUUCUUAGAUUUACUGAAGACUAACUACUGCGAAAGCAUUUGCCAAGGACGUUUUCAUUAAUCAAGAACGAAAGUUAGGGGAUCGAAGAUGAUCAGAUACCGUCGUAGUCUUAACCAUAAACUAUGCCGACUAGGGAUCGGGUGUUGUUCUUUUUUUGACGCACUCGGCACCUUACGAGAAA
Molecule: ribosomal RNA, 1032 nt
Filed under: Magnaporthiopsis sp.
Lineage: Eukaryota; Fungi; Ascomycota; Sordariomycetes; Magnaporthales; Magnaporthaceae
Description: SSU rRNA
Rfam family: Eukaryotic small subunit ribosomal RNA
Source: RNAcentral